AAGUCGUAACAAGGUCUCCGUAGGUGAACCUGCGGAGGGAUCAUUACUGAGUGAGGGAGCAAUCCCGACCUCCAACCCUUUGUGAACGCAUCAUGUUGCUUCGGGGGCGACCCUGCCACACACGGCAUUCCCCCCGGAGGUCAUCAAAACACUGCAUUCUUACGUCGGAGUAAAAAGUUAAUUUAAUAAAACUUUCAACAACGGAUCUCUUGGUUCUG
Molecule: unclassified non-coding RNA, 218 nt
Filed under: Ramularia pratensis
Lineage: Eukaryota; Fungi; Ascomycota; Dothideomycetes; Mycosphaerellales; Mycosphaerellaceae
Description: partial internal transcribed spacer region
Rfam family: Eukaryotic small subunit ribosomal RNA (bases 1-46)
Source: RNAcentral